GAUGAACGCUGGCGGCGUGCCUAAUACAUGCAAGUCGAGCGAACAGACGAGGAGCUUGCUCCUCUGACGUUAGCGGCGGACGGGUGAGUAACACGUGGAUAACCUACCUAUAAGACUGGGAUAACUUCGGGAAACCGGCGCUAAUACCGGAUAAUAUAUUGAACCGCAUGGUUCAAUAGUGAAAGACGGUUUUGCUGUCACUUAUAGAUGGAUCCGCGCCGCAUUAACUAGUUGGUAAGGUAACGGCUUACCAAGGCAACGAUGCGUAGCCGACCUGAGAGGGUGAUCGGCCACACUGGAACGGAGACACGGUCCAGACUCCUACGGGAGGCAGCAGUAGGGAAUCUUCCGCAAUGGGCGAAAGCCUGACGGAGCAACGCCGCGUGAGUGAUGAAGGUCUUCGGAUCGUAAAACUCUGUUAUUAGGGAAGAACAAAUGUGUAAGUAACUAUGCACGUCUUGACGGUACCUAAUCAGAAAGCCACGGCUAACUACGUG
This 497-nucleotide ribosomal RNA is filed under the name uncultured bacterium. RNAcentral's name for it is "partial 16S ribosomal RNA". It matches the Rfam family "Bacterial small subunit ribosomal RNA", at positions 28 to 507 of the family's 1533-position model. The record is from RNAcentral.